AUUGAACGCUGGCGGCAGGCCUAACACAUGCAAGUCGAACGGUAACAGGAAGAAGCUUGCUUCUUUGCUGACGAGUGGCGGACGGGUGAGUAAUGUCUGGGAAACUGCCUGAUGGAGGGGGAUAACUACUGGAAACGGUAGCUAAUACCGCAUAACGUCGCAAGACCAAAGAGGGGGACCUUCGGGCCUCUUGCCAUCGGAUGUGCCCAGAUGGGAUUAGCUAGUAGGUGGGGUAACGGCUCACCUAGGCGACGAUCCCCAGCUGGUCUGAGAGGAUGACCAGCCACACUGGAACUGAGACACGGUCCAGACUCCUACGGGAGGCAGCAGUGGGGAAUAUUGCACAAUGGGCGCAAGCCUGAUGCAGCCAUGCCGCGUGUAUGAAGAAGGCCUUCGGGUUGUAAAGUACUUUCAGCGGGGAGGAAGGGAGUAAAGUUAAUACCUUUGCUCAUUGACGUUACCAGCAGAAGAAGCACCGGCUAACUACGUG
RNAcentral lists this ribosomal RNA (490 nucleotides) under uncultured bacterium. RNAcentral's name for it is "partial 16S ribosomal RNA". It matches the Rfam family "Bacterial small subunit ribosomal RNA", at positions 30 to 507 of the family's 1533-position model. The record is from RNAcentral.